UGUAGCGGUGAAAUGCAUAGAUAUUACACAGAAUACCAAUUGCGAAGGCAGAUUACUAACAAUACACUGACGCUGAGGGACGAAAGCGUGGGUAGCGAACAGGAUUAGAUACCCUGGUAGUCCACGCCGUAAACGAUGGUCACUAGCUGUUUGACUAACAUUGGUUAGUUGAGUGGCUAAGCGAAAGUGAUAAGUGACCCACCUGGGGAGUACGGUCGCAAGACUGAAACUCAAAGGAAUUGACGGGGGCCCGCACGAGCGGUGGAGCAUGUGGUUUAAUUCGAUGCAACGCGAAGAACCUUACCAGGACUUGACAUACUACAAAUUCUUUUGAGAAAAAGAAGUGCCUUCGGGAAUGUAGAUACAGGUGGUGCAUGGCUGUCGUCAGCUCGUGUCGUGAGAUGUUGGGUUAAGUCCCGCAACGAGCGCAACCCUUAUUUUUAGUUACCAAUUCGUUGGGUUCUCUAGAAAGACUGCCGGUGACAAACCGGAGGAAGGUGAGGAUGACGUCAAGUCAGCAUGCCCCUUAUGUCCUGGGCUACACACGUGCUACAAUGGUUAAGACAAAGAGUCGCGAGCUCGUGAGAGUCAGCUAAUCUCAUAAACUUAGCCCAAGUUCAGAUUGUAGGCUGCAACUCGCCUACAUGAAGUUGGAAUCGCUAGUAAUCGCUGGUCAGCCAUACAGCGGUGAAUCCGUUCCCGGGCCUUGUACACACCGCCCGUCACACCAUGGGAGCUGGUCAUACCCGAAACCGUUUGCUUAACCGUUUGGAGAGCGACGUCUAAGGUAGGGCUAGUGACUGGGGUGAAGUCGUAACAAGGUAACCGUA
This 830-nucleotide ribosomal RNA is filed under the name uncultured bacterium. Its description in RNAcentral is "bacterial SSU rRNA". It matches the Rfam family "Bacterial small subunit ribosomal RNA", at positions 674 to 1504 of the family's 1533-position model. The record is from RNAcentral.